CUCUGUAUAGCCUUGGCUGUCCUGGACUUGCUUUGUACACCAGGCUGGCCUUGAACUCACAGUGACUCGCCUGCCUCUUUCUCCCUGAAUGCUGGUUUUAAAGGAAUGAGAGAGACGCCCAGUAGAAGAGAGGGGAAGCAAUGGGAGUUAUGUCUACUCACUGUAGCACGGAGAUGGUGUGGUUGGAGACCAGGGCCUCAGCCAUGCACAUGACACCAUCAUCCUUGAUCACGUUGCUUUGGAGGCUACAGAGAGCAUGUACCAGAUCCUUUGGCGCUUUCUACAAGGGGUAGAAAAAAGCAGACUGCAUCUUGAACCACGCUCUAAAAGGAUACCUGUUCUUGGGGAGGCAAGAGCUGAGCAGAGGGGGAAGCAAUCCCCUAGCCCAUGCAACAGGUAGGUACACUGGGCUCUGGGUUACCUGAUGGUUUGAAUGCGACAGUCCUUCCCACUCAGCACACUGCCCAACAGCUCCAUCACGGCGUCCUGGAACUGGUUGUUGUCCAGCCUGGUCAGGGGAGCCAUGACAGUGAGUAGUCCCGCAGCCCAUGAGCAGGGCAAGGCUUCCACCACCUCUCAUCCCCACUGUGGCCCCACUGUGUCAGCUCAGAGCUCUAGAGUUCUCUGUGCAAGCAACCUGAGGGGGUUCCUGUGAGCUGUG
Molecule: long non-coding RNA, 661 nt
Organism: Acomys russatus (golden spiny mouse)
Lineage: Eukaryota; Metazoa; Chordata; Mammalia; Rodentia; Muridae
Exons: 3
Source: RefSeq, a predicted model, not a curated record